GCCCUAGGUGUGAGGUCCAGAGCGGCGGGCACCCCGCGCCGAUGAUAGGGCCUCCUCCGGGGGGCCUACA
Molecule: small nucleolar RNA, 70 nt
Filed under: Thermoproteus tenax Kra 1
Lineage: Archaea; Thermoproteati; Thermoproteota; Thermoprotei; Thermoproteales; Thermoproteaceae
Description: Pyrobaculum sRNA 201
Rfam family: Pyrobaculum sRNA 201
About the family: Has weak conservation of the canonical pseudouridylation guide sRNA features among the Pyrobaculum species.
Source: Rfam by way of RNAcentral